GCCGAUUUAGCUCAGAUGGCAGAGCAGCUGAUUCGUAAUCAGCAGGUCACCAGUUCAAUUCCGGUAAUCGGCACCA
This 76-nucleotide transfer RNA is filed under the name Pantoea agglomerans. RNAcentral's name for it is "tRNA-Thr". It matches the Rfam family "tRNA". From Rfam's summary of the family: Transfer RNA (tRNA) molecules are approximately 80 nucleotides in length. Their secondary structure includes four short double-helical elements and three loops (D, anti-codon, and T loops). Lineage: Bacteria; Pseudomonadati; Pseudomonadota; Gammaproteobacteria; Enterobacterales; Erwiniaceae. The record is from RNAcentral. RNAcentral also lists the same sequence under 31 other names.